This 176-nucleotide ribosomal RNA is filed under the name uncultured Bacillus sp. RNAcentral describes it as "partial 16S ribosomal RNA". It matches the Rfam family "Bacterial small subunit ribosomal RNA", at positions 354 to 523 of the family's 1533-position model. The record is from RNAcentral. Lineage: Bacteria; Bacillati; Bacillota; Bacilli; Caryophanales; Bacillaceae.
GUAGGGAAUUUCCGCAAUGGACGAAAGUCUGACGGAGCAAGCCGCGUGAGUGAUGAAGGCUUUCGGGUCGUAAAACUCUGUUGUUAGGGAAGAACAAGUGCUAGUUGAAUAAGUUGGCACCUUGACGGUACCUAACCAGAAAGCCACGGCUAACUACGUGCCAGCAGCCGCGGUAA